Molecule: ribosomal RNA, 423 nt
Filed under: uncultured bacterium
Lineage: Bacteria
Description: partial 16S ribosomal RNA
Rfam family: Bacterial small subunit ribosomal RNA
Source: RNAcentral
GGAUAUUGGACAAUGGGCGAAAGCCUGAUCCAGCCAUGCCGCGUGUGUGAAGAAGGUCUUCGGAUUGGAAAGCACUUUAAGUUGGGAGGAAGGGCAGUAAGCGACUACCUUGCUGUUUUGACGUUACCGACAGAAUAAGCACCGGCUAACUCUGUGCCAGCCGCCGCGGUAAUACAGCGGGUGCAAGCGUUAAUCGGAAUUCCUGGGCGUAAAGGGCGCGUAGGUGGUUCGUUAAGUUGGAUGUGGAAUCCCCGGGGUCAACCUGGGAACUGCAUUCAAAACUGGCGAGCUAGAGUAGGGCAGAGGGUGGUGGAAUUUCCUGUGUAGCGGUGAAAUGCGUAGAUAUAGGAAGGAACACCAGUGGCGAAGGCGACCACCUGGGCUCAUACUGACACUGAGGUGCGAAAGCGUGGGGAGCAAACA